RNAcentral lists this long non-coding RNA (557 nucleotides) under Homo sapiens (human). RNAcentral's name for it is "HSALNT0280087". The record is from RNAcentral. Lineage: Eukaryota; Metazoa; Chordata; Mammalia; Primates; Hominidae.
GUGGCUAUGUUGCCUUCCAUGGCAAAACAGGCUUUGCAGCUGUGAUGGAAUCGAGGAUCCAGAUGUGGGGAGAUGAUCCCGGCUUAUCCAGGCUCAUUGGUGGAAGGGACUUGCCUUCUCUCAGAUGAGACUCUGGACUGUGGACUUUAGAAUUAAUGCUGGAAUGAGUUAACACUGGGCAACUGUUGAGAAGGGACGAUUGUACUUUGCAUUGUGAGAAGGACAUGAUUUGGGAGGGGCCAGGGGCAGAAUGAUAUGGUUUGGAUUUGUGUCACUGCCCAAUUCUCAUGUUGAAUUGUAACCCCCAAUGUUGGAGGAGGGGCCUGGUGGGAGGUGACUCAAUCAUGGGAAUGGAUUUCCUUCUUGCUGUUGUCAUGAUAGUUCUCAUGAGAUCUGGUUGUUUAAAAGUGUGUAGCACCUCCCCCUUCUCUCUCUCCCUCCUGCUCCAACCUAGUGAGACGUGACUCCUUCUUCACCUUCUGCUAUAACUGUAAGUUUCCUGAGGCCUCCCCAGCCAUGCUUCCUGUACAGCCUGUGGAACUGUCAGCCAAUUAAAC